CGUAACAAGGUCUCCGUUGGUGAACCAGCGGAGGGAUCAUUACCGAUUCUACGCUCAAAACCCCCUGUGAACAUACCUAUUACAGUUGCUUCGGCGGGCUGGCCGGUCCGCCCCCUUGCGCUUCGGCGCUCCGGGGCGGCCUGGCCCGCCUUAGACCGGCCCGCCGGAGGUCUCAAACUCAACGUCUACGCUUUUGCACUGGAAGUCUGAGUGUGACACAAAUAAGUUAAAACUUUCAACAAUGGAUCUCUUGGUUCUGGCAUCGAUGAAGAACGCAGCGAAAUGCGAUAAGUAAUGUGAAUUGCAGAAUUCAGUGAAUCAUCGAAUCUUUGAACGCACAUUGCGCCCGCCGGUAUUCCGGCGGGCAUGCCUGUCCGAGCGUCAUCUCACCACUCAAGUCCGGCUUGGUGUUGGCCGACGCGGGUACGGCGGCGAUCCGGCCUAACGGCCGGGCUCCCCACCCCCGCGCGGCUCAAAUGCAGCGGCGAAACGGUGUCGAGUUUCCCCUACGUGGUAACUAAAUCUCGUAUUGGAUGACCUUCCCGUCUCAGCCCAAAACUUCCUGGAGCCCCCUCCGGGCCCCAUCUAAGGUUUGACCUCGGAUCAGGUAGGAAUACCCGCUGAACUUAAGCAUAUUAAUAAGCGG
RNAcentral lists this ribosomal RNA (646 nucleotides) under marine ascomycete SAP162. RNAcentral's name for it is "eukaryotic LSU rRNA". The stretch from base 231 to 384 matches the Rfam family "5.8S ribosomal RNA". Lineage: Eukaryota; Fungi; Ascomycota. The record is from RNAcentral.